Molecule: ribosomal RNA, 472 nt
Filed under: uncultured bacterium
Lineage: Bacteria
Description: bacterial SSU rRNA
Rfam family: Bacterial small subunit ribosomal RNA
Source: RNAcentral
ACUCCUACGGGAGGCAGCAGUAGGGAAUCUUCCACAAUGGGCGCAAGCCUGAUGGAGCAACACCGCGUGAGUGAAGAAGGGUUUCGGCUCGUAAAGCUCUGUUGUUAAAGAAGAACACGUAUGAGAGUAACUGUUCAUACGUUGACGGUAUUUAACCAGAAAGUCACGGCUAACUACGUGCCAGCAGCCGCGGUAAUACGUAGGUGGCAAGCGUUAUCCGGAUUUAUUGGGCGUAAAGAGAGUGCAGGCGGUUUUCUAAGUCUGAUGUGAAAGCCUUCGGCUUAACCGGAGAAGUGCAUCGGAAACUGGAUAACUUGAGUGCAGAAGAGGUAGUGGAACUCCAUGUGUAGCGUGGAAUGCGUAGAUAUAUGGAAGAACACCAGUGGCGAAGGCGGCUACCUGGUCUGCAACUGACGCUGAGACUCGAAAGCAUGGGUAGCGAACAGGAUUAGAUACCCCUGGUAGGAUAGCG